RNAcentral lists this ribosomal RNA (443 nucleotides) under uncultured bacterium. RNAcentral's name for it is "partial 16S ribosomal RNA". It matches the Rfam family "Bacterial small subunit ribosomal RNA", at positions 339 to 795 of the family's 1533-position model. The record is from RNAcentral.
CUACGGGUUGCUCCAGUGGGGAAUAUUGCGCAAUGGGGGAAACCCUGACGCAGCGACGCCGUGUGAAGGAUGAAGGUCUUAGGAUUGUAAACUUCUGUCGAGAGGAAAGAAUAAAUUGACGGUACCUCUUAAGAAAGCACCGGCUAACUCCGUGCCAGCAGCCGCAGGUAAUACGGAGGGUGCAAGCGUUAUUCGGAAUUACUAGAUGUAAAGGGCGUGUAGGUGGUUUAGUAAGUUAGAUGUGAAAUCUCGUAGCUCAACUACGAGCCUGCAUCUAAAACUACUAAUCUUGAGUAUGAGAGGGGAAAAUGGAAUUUCUAGUGUAGCGGUGGAAUGCGUAGAUACUAGAAGGAACACCGAUGGCGAAAGCGGUUUUCUGGCUCAAUACUGACACUAAGGCGCGAAAGCUAGGGGAGCAAACAGGAUUAGAUACCCUAGUAGUC